AACGAACGCUGGCGGCAUGCCUAACACAUGCAAGUCGAACGAGACCUUCGGGUCUAGUGGCGCACGGGUGCGUAACGCGUGGGAACCUGCCUUUAGGUUCGGAACAACUCAGAGAAAUUUGAGCUAAUACCGGAUGAUGUCUUCGGACCAAAGAUUUAUCGCCUUUAGAUGGGCCCGCGUUGGAUUAGCUAGUUGGUGGGGUAAAGGCCUACCAAGGCGACGAUCCAUAGCUGGUCUGAGAGGAUGAUCAGCCACACUGGGACUGAGACACGGCCCAGACUCCUACGGGAGGCAGCAGUGGGGAAUAUUGGACAAUGGGCGAAAGCCUGAGCCAGCAAUGCCGCGUGAGUGAUGAAGGCCUUAGGGUUGUAAAGCUCUUUUACCCGAGAUGAUAAUGACAGUAUCGGGAGAAUAAGCUCCGGCUAACUCCGUG
This 433-nucleotide ribosomal RNA is filed under the name uncultured bacterium. RNAcentral's name for it is "partial 16S ribosomal RNA". It matches the Rfam family "Bacterial small subunit ribosomal RNA", at positions 29 to 507 of the family's 1533-position model. The record is from RNAcentral.